This 558-nucleotide ribosomal RNA is filed under the name Staphylococcus haemolyticus. RNAcentral describes it as "bacterial SSU rRNA". It matches the Rfam family "Bacterial small subunit ribosomal RNA", at positions 143 to 688 of the family's 1533-position model. Lineage: Bacteria; Bacillati; Bacillota; Bacilli; Caryophanales; Staphylococcaceae. The record is from RNAcentral.
AUAACUUCCGGAAACCGGAACUAAUACCGGAUAAUAUUUCCAACCGCAUGGAUCGAUACUGAAAGAUGGCUUUGCUAUCACUUAUACAUGGACCCGCGCCGUAUUAGCUAGUUGGUAAGGUAACGGCUUACCAAAGCGACAAUACGUAUCCGACCUGAGAGGGUGAUCGGCCACACUGGAACUGAGACACGGUCCAGACUCCUACGGGAGGCAGCAAUAGGGAAUCUUCCGCAAUGGGCGAAAGCCUGACGGAGCAACGCCGCGUGAGUGAUGAAGGUCUUCGGAUCGUAAAACUCUGUUAUUAGGGAAGAACAUACGUGUAAGUAACUAUGCACGUCUUGACGGUACCUAAUCAGAAAGCCACGGCUAACUACGUGCCAGCAGCCGCGGUAAUACGUAGGUGGCAAGCGUUAUCCGGAAUUAUUGGGCGUAAAGCGCGCGUAGGCGGUUUUUUAAGUCUGAUGUGAAAGCCCACGGCUCAACCGUGGAGGGUCAUUGGAAACUGGAAAACUUGAGUGCAGAAGAGGAAUGUGGAAUUCCAUGUGUAGCGGUGAAAUG